CCUACGGGAGGCAGCAGUGAGGGAUAUUGGUCAAUGGGGGAAACCCUGAACCAGCAACGCCGCGUGAGGGAAGACGGUUUUCGGAUUGUAAACCUCUGUCCUCUGUGAAGAUAAUGACGGUAGCAGAGGAAUAAGCCUCGGCUAACUACGUGCCAGCAGCCGCGGUAAUACGUAGGAGGCGAGCGUUAUCCGGAAUGACUGGGCGUAAAGGGUGCGUAGGUGGUUUGGCAAGUUAGUAGCGUAACUCCAAGGCUCAACCUUGGAACUACUACUAAAACUGUUGGACUUGAGUGCAGGAGGGGCAACCGGAAUUCCUAGUGUAGCGGUGGAAUGCGUAGAUAUUAGGAGGAACACCAGUGGCGAAGGCGGGUUGCUAGACUGUAACUGACACUGAGGCACGAAAGCGUGGGGAGCAAACAGGAUUAGAUACCCGUGUAGUC
RNAcentral lists this ribosomal RNA (440 nucleotides) under uncultured bacterium. RNAcentral's name for it is "partial 16S ribosomal RNA". It matches the Rfam family "Bacterial small subunit ribosomal RNA", at positions 338 to 795 of the family's 1533-position model. The record is from RNAcentral.